GUAAGAAGAGGUUCCAGUUUGGGGCGGCUAGAACUGGGGUGCUUCUUCAGCAGGCGAGGAGGGCGUGGCGCGAGAGUUAGAGUACCUCCCCCGAUCCCCUCCCACCUAGGGCUUGCUCCCCACCCACAUGCACCUUCCUCUCGCGCAGGCGCAGUGGCUCCGGCGUGCAGGCCGGGGCGGGCUGGGCGCAGAACCCCCGCGCGGUUCGCGAGCGCAUAGCGAUUGCUUCUGUCUGUUGUUUAGUUAUGGCGCUGUCAAGGAAGCGCCGGGGCAGAGGGAACCCAGGUCAGGGUCUAGCUCUGUGCUGACGGCGACCCAGGGCCGAGUGGGCUAUGGGGGAGCCCGGGUCCUUGGUCAUGGGGGUCCGCGCCCGUAGCCGGAGCUGCUGCUUGCGGCGUGUGGGGAUGGACGCCGAGUGGCUGCUGCUGGAGGAUGGAAACGAGGUGACUAUAGGGCGAGGAUUUGGUGUCACAUACCAACUGGUAUCAAAACUCUGCCCUCUGAUGAUUUCCCGAAACCACUGUGUUUUGAAGCAGAAUGCUGAUGGCCAAUGGACAAUUAUGGACAACGAGGGCUUCCCUUCUGAAGAGGCAGAGGUUUUGCAACAGCAAGAGAGAAAUUCUAUUAAGAGGAAGAAAAUCAUGAAGUUUAUUUUGUCUUUCUUUCCCUUUCCUCAGAGUCUGAAUGGUGUUUGGCUGAAUAGAGUACGUCUAGAACCUUUAAAGGUCUAUUCUAUCCAUAAGGGAGACCACAUCCAGCUUGGGGUUCCCCUGGAAAAUAAAGAGAAUGCAGAAUAUGAAUAUGAAGUUACUGAAGAAGAUUGGGAGAGGAUGUCUCCUUAUCUUGCCCCAAAGAGUGACCAGAUGAUGGAAAAAAGUAAGAGCUUGAGAACUAAAAGGAAAUUUAGUUUGGAUGAAUUAGAGGAUCCUGGAGCUGAAGGCCCCUCAAAGUUGAAAUCCAAAAUAAAUAGAGUAUCUUGUGAACGUGGUCAACCAGUGAAAUCACAUGGGAAAGGUGAAGUGGCCAGUCAACACUCUGAAUAUUUGGAUCCUAAGUUGUCUUCUCUUGAGCCACGUGAGAAGACUACAGGGGCUCACGUUUACUCUGGCCCCGCAAAAGCCGUGAAGCUUCAUCAUAAGAAGGAGAAAGCAUCAAACCCUUUUGCAUCUCAGAGCAGCUUAGAGUUGUUUAAGGUGACCAUGUCCAGGAUUCUGAAGCUGAAAACACAGAUGCAAGAAAAACAGAAAGCUGUUCUGAAUGUGAAAAAGCAGACCCCAAAAGGGAACUCAAAGAAAAUUGUGAAAAUGGAGCAGGAAUUACAGGAUUUACAGUUCCAGCUUUGUGCAGAGCAGGCCCAGCAGCAGGCCAGAGUGGAGCAGCUAGAGAAGACUUUCAAGGAAGAGCAGCAGUUUCUCCAGGGUUUGGAGAAAGAGCAAGGAGAGGAGGACCUGAAGCAACAGCUGGCCCAGGCUCUGCAGGAGGUCGGAGAUUUGGAGCCUCACAGACAUGCCAGACCUCAGCAUGAAAACUUACAUCUUCAUCGGAGCAGGAGCUGCUCUAGUGAAGAUGGAAUGGAGCUUAUAGCAAUUAGGAGGCUCUCUGGAGGAAGUGGCUGCAUUUCCAGAAAGCAUCGGGCUUUAAUGGAAGAGCUAAAUCGCAGCAAGAAGGACUUUGAAGCAAUCAUUCAAGCCAAGAACAAAGAAUUGGAGCAGACCAAGGAAGAAAAGGAGAAGGUGCAAGCACAGAAAGAGGAAGUUCUUAGCCACAUGAAUGAUGUGCUAGAGAAUGAGCUCCAGUGUAUUAUUUGCUCAGAAUACUUCAUUGAGGCUGUCACCUUGAACUGUGCACAUAGUUUCUGCUCCUUUUGUAUCAAUGAAUGGAUGAAGCGGAAGAUAGAAUGCCCUAUUUGUCGGAAGGACAUCAAGUCCAAAACCCACUCCCUGGUUCUGGACAAUUGCAUUAGUAAGAUGGUAGAUAAUCUAAGUUCAGAAGUAAAAGAACGACGAAUUGUCCUCAUUAGGGAACGAAAAGCAAAGAGACUGUCCUGAAGACCAUGCUCCAAGGGCAUUUGAAAGACUGCCAGGCAAUGGGAGCUUAGGAUGGUCUGAAGGAUUCUUCGUGGACUGGUCUUGGACCGCUCUGAGACAAAGCGUGGGAUAGAACCACGUGGGACAGAGACUGAAUUAGGAAGUUCUCCGUCACGAGCCUUCCAUGUUGACCAGCUCUGCUGCUGCCACCAUGAUCUAAAGCACCACCGGAACUCACCACACCACCUGCUUUCAGGGUACUUAAUAGACUCUGCUUCACUACAUGUUGAUUAUAGUUAUAUAGUUCUGUUCUGCUUUUUAAAUUUGUUGUUUUUGUUAUUGUUUUGGUACCUCAGAAGCACCUCUGUUGGCAUUUGUUUUGGACAUCUUGGAUGUUGAUGUACCCCUAUGGCUGCCCCUGCAAGCUCCCAGACAGUCUCACAAGUAAACACUGGCAGCUCAUAAAUUGCAACCAAGAAAGUGACUAUAUCAGAUGAUAGACUCAAGUGAAUGUCAGCCUGCGAAGCCAAGCCCAAGAUCAUGGCCAUAGCAGAUGGGCUCCGUUAAGCCCCUGACUGUUGUGGUUUUGUUGUUGUUGUUGUUGUUGUUGUUGUUGUUGUUGUUGUUGUUGUUUACUCCAGAGGUAGGUCACUGCUUACCUAAUUUCGGGAUGGGAUGAAUUACCUUCUUUCAUCUGGAGUUCUAAAAUUGUUUUCAAAUUUAUUUUACCCAGUGUCAAAAUACAGGCAGUGAUUUUAUGAGAACUUGGGUGUGGUUUUUUGUUUUUUGUUUUUGUUUUUGUUUUUUUUAAAAUUAAAGGCAUCUCUCUUUUGCUGCCUCCUUAACAGAAAGAAAACUAGUUUGAUGUUUGGGAGAUAGAAGCUUAGGAUAACCUGUGGUAUCUUAGGUUACCAGUGAUGAGAAUGAGGGACAAUAUGGGAAGUUGAAGAGCUGUCAUUUGAAAUGGGGAGGUCUCUAGUAGGAUUGUGAACUGUCAGCAAUUUCCCAGCAGGUGGAAAGGUAUUUAUUUUCCUCUCCCUUUUUACCGCCUACCUGGAGAACCAUUCUUUGUAAUUCUUUAUUUAUACCCCAUGUAUUUUCAUAAAAGAUUGGAAACUAUUGACUUGCCAACUUUUUAGGGAUGGUCUGUUUUUUCUUUUGUUGAAUAUACUGUGAAAUUGGGA
This is an RNA transcript of Pteropus alecto (black flying fox), 3211 nucleotides long. It is a transcript of the gene named ring finger protein 8, with no coding region annotated. The record is from RefSeq and is a predicted model, not a curated record. The transcript has 10 exons. NCBI's taxonomy places the organism in Eukaryota, Metazoa, Chordata, Mammalia, Chiroptera, Pteropodidae.